AUUGAACGCUGGCGGCAUGCCUUACACAUGCAAGUCGAACGGCAGCACGGGAGCAAUCCUGGUGGCGAGUGGCGAACGGGUGAGUAAUAUAUCGGAACGUGCCCGGUCGUGGGGAUAACGUAGCGAAAGCUACGCUAAUACCGCAUACGAUCUACGGAUGAAAGCGGGGGAUCGCAAGACCUCGCGCGAUUGGAGCGGCCGAUAUCAGAUUAGGUAGUUGGUGAGGUAAAGGCUCACCAAGCCGACGAUCUGUAGCUGGUCUGAGAGGACGACCAGCCACACUGGGACUGAGACACGGCCCAGACUCCUACGGGAGGCAGCAGUGGGGAAUUUUUGGACAAAUGGGCGCAAGCCUGAUCCAGCAAUGCCGCGUGCAGGAUGAAGGCC
This 387-nucleotide ribosomal RNA is filed under the name uncultured bacterium. Its description in RNAcentral is "bacterial SSU rRNA". It matches the Rfam family "Bacterial small subunit ribosomal RNA", at positions 30 to 416 of the family's 1533-position model. The record is from RNAcentral.